GAGGCGGAAGAAGAAGCUAAGUUACAUGGGCUAGCGUCCGACCAGGGGAUUCCAGCUACGGUUCGACGGCCCCGAAACUAGUUCGGUACCACGGUGAUUGGCAGGAGGACGAGAGUCUGACGGAGGAGCAGAGGAACGCUGGCAGCCAUUUUGUCUGAGCUCAGCGCCGGAGGAAAAAAUGAGUUCUUCA
This is a long non-coding RNA of Stegastes partitus (bicolor damselfish), 190 nucleotides long. RefSeq lists it as uncharacterized. NCBI's taxonomy places the organism in Eukaryota, Metazoa, Chordata, Actinopteri, Pomacentridae. The record is from RefSeq and is a predicted model, not a curated record. The transcript has 2 exons.